This 843-nucleotide ribosomal RNA is filed under the name uncultured bacterium. RNAcentral describes it as "bacterial SSU rRNA". It matches the Rfam family "Bacterial small subunit ribosomal RNA", at positions 68 to 905 of the family's 1533-position model. The record is from RNAcentral.
GGAUUUUCCUUCGGGAUAAGUAGCGGCGGACGGGUGAGCUCUCGUAGGUAACCUGCCUAUAAGAUCGGGAUAACUAUCGGAAACGAUAGCUAAGACCGGAUAACUGGUUUUCUCGCAUGAGAGAAUCAUGAAACACGGAGCAAUCUGUGGCUUAUAGAUGGGCCUGCGGCGCAUUAGCUAGUUGGUGAGGUAACGGCUCACCAAGGCGACGAUGCGUAGCCGACCUGAGAGGGUGAACGGCCACACUGGGACUGAGACACGGCCCAGACUCCUACGGGAGGCAGCAGUAGGGAAUCUUCCGCAAUGGACGCAAGUCUGACGGAGCAACGCCGCGUGAGUGAUGAAGGUUUUCGGAUCGUAAAGCUCUGUUGCCCUAGACGAACAGCAAGGAGAGCAACUGCUCUUUGUGUGACGGUAUAGGAGAAGAAAGCCCCGGCUAACUACGUGCCAGCAGCCGCGGUAAUACGUAGGGGGCAAGCGUUGUCCGGAAUUAUUGGGCGUAAAGCGCGCGCAGGCGGUCAAUUAAGUUGGGUGUUUAAGCCCGGGGCUCAACCCCGGUUCGCAUCCAAAACUGGUUGACUUGAGUGUAGGAGAGGAAAGUGGAAUUCCACGUGUAGCGGUGAAAUGCGUAGAGAUGUGGAGGAACACCAGUGGCGAAGGCGACUUUCUGGCCUAUAACUGACGCUGAGGCGCGAAAGCGUGGGGAGCAAACAGGAUUAGAUACCCUGGUAGUCCACGCCGUAAACGAUGCAUACUAGGUGUUGGGGAUUCGAUUCCUCGGUGCCGAAGUUUACACAGUAAGUAUGCCGCCUGGGGAGUACGCUCGCAAGAGUGAAACUCAAA